UACAGAGGUGGCAAGCGUUGUUCGGAAUUACUGGGCGUAAAGGGCGCGUAGGCGGCCUUCUAAGUCAGACGUGAAAUCCCCAGGCUUAACUUGGGAACUGCGUCUGAUACUGGGAGGCUUGAGUGCGGGAGAGGGAUGUGGAAUUCCAGGUGUAGCGGUGAAACGCGUAGAUAUCUGGAGGAACACCGGUGGCGAAGGCGGCAUCCUGGACCGACACUGACGCUGAGGCGCGAAAGCCAGGGGAGCAAACGGG
Molecule: ribosomal RNA, 253 nt
Filed under: uncultured bacterium
Lineage: Bacteria
Description: partial 16S ribosomal RNA
Rfam family: Bacterial small subunit ribosomal RNA
Source: RNAcentral